RNAcentral lists this ribosomal RNA (393 nucleotides) under uncultured fungus. Its description in RNAcentral is "bacterial SSU rRNA". It matches the Rfam family "Eukaryotic small subunit ribosomal RNA", at positions 247 to 622 of the family's 1831-position model. The record is from RNAcentral. Lineage: Eukaryota; Fungi.
GUAAUCAUGAUAACUUUUCGAAUCGCAUGGUCUUGAACCGGCGAUGACUCAUUCAACAUUUCUGCCUAAUCAACUUUCGAUGGUAGGCAUAAGAGGCUACAAUGGUUUUACACGGGUAACGGGGAAUUAGGAGUUCAGAUUCCGGAGCAGGAGAAGCCUGAGAACACGGAUACCAACAUCCAAUGGAAGGACAGCAGGGCGCCAAAUUACCCAAUCCCGACACGGGGAAGGUAGUGACAAUAAAUAACAAUACGGGGCUCAUAGUGGGUCUCGUAAUUGGAAUGAGUACAAUUUAAAUCUCUUAACGAGGAACAAUUGGAGGGCAAGGUCUAGGUGCCAGCAGCCAGGGUCAAUUCCAGCUCCAAUAGCGUAUAUUAAAGUAGUGGCAGUUAA